This 465-nucleotide long non-coding RNA is filed under the name Sorghum bicolor (sorghum). RNAcentral's name for it is "long non-coding RNA (SBIC_LNC006847)". Lineage: Eukaryota; Viridiplantae; Streptophyta; Magnoliopsida; Poales; Poaceae. The record is from RNAcentral.
UUAAAAAAGCACCUCCAGAACCUUGCACUCCACACAGUCCGACUAGAGAAGAAAUACUACGAGAUAGUCCAGGAAGGGUCACAAGAAGGUAAGACACAUUGGCACACUUACCAUACACCAAUUAUUUCCAUACAUCUAAUUGUUGUAUAAAAUUUAUUUGCAGCAAGCUUGUGAUGUUAUUGGCAGAGGGCACAUCUUCACAAAUUCAUGAUGACACCACUAGUCCUGUGGAGACGACUACCGCUACAGCACCACCAAAGAAGAUGACUCCCAAGAGAAAGCUAGCGAUUGUAUGAAUUUUUUAAAUUGUGUGUGCUGAAAUGAAAACUCAAGAUUUUUAAAACUGUGUGUGAUGAACUUGUAUUGCUACUUCAUCAGUCAAAAAAAAACUUGUAUUGCUACAAACAUGGUUAUAUGAUAUCAACUCGUUCGUGCUAAAAUCAUUGCUUGUAUUUGUUGAAACUG